RNAcentral lists this ribosomal RNA (459 nucleotides) under uncultured bacterium. Its description in RNAcentral is "partial 16S ribosomal RNA". It matches the Rfam family "Bacterial small subunit ribosomal RNA", at positions 338 to 795 of the family's 1533-position model. The record is from RNAcentral.
CCUACGGGAGGCAGCAGUGAGGAAUAUUGGUCAAUGGGCGGGAGCCUGAACCAGCCAAGCCGCGUGAGGGAAGAAGGUGCAGCGUAUCGUAAACCUCUUUUGUCAGGGAACAAAGUCUGGGACUAGUCCCCGUAUGAGUGUACCUGAAGAAAAAGCAUCGGCUAACUCCGUGCCAGCAGCCGCGGUAAUACGGAGGAUGCGAGCGUUAUCCGGAUUUAUUGGGUUUAAAGGGUGCGCAGGCGGCCUGUUAAGUCAGCGGUAAAAGCCCGGGGCUCAACCCCGGCGAGCCGUUGAAACUGGCGGGCUGGAGUUGGAGAGAAGUACGCGGAAGGCGCGGUGUAGCGGUGAAAUGCUUAGAUAUCGCGCAGAACCCCGAUUGCGAAGGCAGCGUACCGGCUCCACACUGACGCUGAGGCACGAAAGCGUGGGUAUCGAACAGGAUUAGAUACCCUUGUAGUC